Vicia villosa (hairy vetch) is the source of this 381-nucleotide long non-coding RNA. RefSeq lists it as uncharacterized. The transcript is spliced from 2 exons. NCBI's taxonomy places the organism in Eukaryota, Viridiplantae, Streptophyta, Magnoliopsida, Fabales, Fabaceae. The record is from RefSeq and is a predicted model, not a curated record.
AUCAAGUUGAAAUGGUGGGAGUUCCAGAGUAGUAUUUAUCGGGUCAUGCCUUUCAUAUGUAUCAUUUGACAUCACCUAUGGUGGGAGUUCCAGAUGCUGUACUAUUUCUUGCUAAAAAGAUUGAAGCAAAGGAUUCCAAGAGAAUCUACAAUAUGAUUGAUGUUUUGCGAGAGGGUAAUAUGCGAUAAAAAGUUCUAUGGAGUAUGAUGCAAGAUGUGGAAAUUUGGGAUUCUAAUAAAGCAAUUUUCAUCUUGUGUCCAAUUUUCGUAUCAAUUUAUUUGAGGAAAGCUUAGUUUGUACUAUUGUGGCUUAUCUAUAACAUGAUUUGAGUAAGAACAAUAUAAUAUAAAGACGUACGGUUACUAAUUUCUUUUAUUUUAA